This 1870-nucleotide small RNA is filed under the name Rattus norvegicus (Norway rat). RNAcentral describes it as "uncharacterized LOC102549462". Lineage: Eukaryota; Metazoa; Chordata; Mammalia; Rodentia; Muridae. The record is from RNAcentral.
GCUAGCACAUUUGGUCACUCCUAGUUUGGAAUGUUGUUGGAGCCUUUAGGAGGCAGAGUCUUCGUCCAAGGGUAGGUCACUGAGGACAGACAUGAGGUUUGAUACCUCAGUCUCGUCUUCAGUUUUCUGACUGUGGACGUGGUGUGACCAGACACUUGGAGCCCCUACCAUCAUGACUCUACACUAUGAUGGACCACAGCUCCUCAAACUGGGAGCCUCCUAUAAGAUCUUUUUCAUCAGAUAAGUAGAGUUCUGAACAUCACAUUCUACAGUCAAGUCCCACCAAGUGCUUUCAGGUCAGCUGCAGCCUGCUGCCUGAGAUGUCUGCAUGCGACAGUUGUGACCUCCAUUCCUCAGUUCAAGCACCACCCUACCUACUGUCUGUGUAGAGAAAGGCAUCACUUUCUCUCUUAGCUGGGAACAUGCAGACAUGGUCAUACAUCCCUGUCAUUCCUUCCAAGAUAGCCUUGGAUUGAGGACCUACUAUGAUCAAGAGAGGGACUUCCCUAAGCACAGAGCAGUAGCAAAGGGGUCGAGACUCACAGGUUGAGAAACAUUGCUCAGGAUACUUCCUUCCAUGUUGUGGCUUUGGCUCAGCUAAGCACCUCUGUCCAGCCCCAUCCCAGCCUCUUCACUUCUGGUUCUUCCUGGCCAAUCCUUCGUUUCCUCAUCUAUCAAGUCAAGACAAUGGCAUCUACUUUUCUGUGAGCUGUGUGGGUUUGGAACAUGGCAGGCACCAGUUAGUGUCAGUUUGCCUUCUGGAUUAGAAUGUUUCCAUUUACAUUUGCCUCAGGAACACUGCCAUUUUCUUGGUGUGGUUAAUCUUAACUACCUCUAAGGGGGAAAGUCCUUUGAUUGAACAAAUUUAUGUCAAUGUGUUUUCUGCAAAUAUAAGUCAUUUUAGUUCUCCAAAAGGCAUCUGGAAUGUUUUUCUGAGUCCAUGUUAACCUAAAAUCAUUUUGCAGUUUGUAAGGUUGUGCAUGUCCAACAAUUAACAGAACAAAGUGGAAAAAUAUGGAUGUAGGUUGAUGAGAAACCAGCUUCCAGUGGUCAGCUGCUCCCAGUUCUUUGCCCUGUUCAGCUUCUUCUUCUACUCCUGAGGUUGAAGAUGGACGUGACUUCCCAGCCUUGGGAACCAAAGCUCCCCACGUUAGCCUGGUCUUCCCUGGCCUCAAGGCACACCUUCUGUCAGCCUGCUCCAUACAGACACACUAGUACAUCAAUGAACUCAAUGCCCAUGCCCUACCAAGCCCCUCUUGCCCACAUGUAUAGUGACGGGAAGAGAUCGAGGAGCCACACACUUGUGAGCGGUGUAUCAGCAAGGAGACAAACCAUCGCAGCUGCCUUGAACAUGUGAAAGCUCCUGUUGCCUUCAUUUGCCUCCCAGCAGCCCAGAAAACAUGGUUCAUCUCCCACAACGACAGCUACAAAGGGCCAAAGUCAUCCCUCAACAUCGUGACUUGGAUGUCUCUUUUGAUCACGAGUCUGCAUGGAUUCCUCAUAGGCCAACAUGGAAUGGAGCUUCACAUCCGUCACUGAUUACUUUGCCAUUUUGGACAGGUUGUUCCUUCCCUCUGGUGAAUCUCAAAUGUUAACGUCUAGCAAAAUGGGUAAGCUGAGCUUAUAGUAGGUGCACGCUGCCAGCACCCAGAACUCCUGGAGGUAAGAGGGCUUCAGUAUGUGAGUGCUACCAUAGCCCAUCUCCUGAAGGAGUGGAACAGCCGAGUCCUGUCCCAAUCCCAACACCAAGUUAGCAGUGCAGAACAGGGUGUACACACUCUGCCCUGAACCCAGUGCUCACCACCACAUGGGCAGGCACUACCAUGAGUAGUUUUCCUAUAAAGACUGCAUCUUUACAUCUUUUUAAAAU